This 379-nucleotide unclassified non-coding RNA is filed under the name uncultured bacterium. RNAcentral describes it as "contains 16S-23S intergenic spacer region". The record is from RNAcentral.
UCCGGUUUGUCACCGGCGGUCUCCCUAGAGUUCCCACCCAAAGUGCCGGCAACUAGGGACAAGGGUUGCGCUCGUUGCGGGACUUAACCCAACAUCUCACGACACGAGCUGACGACAGCCAUGCAGCACCUGAACCGGCAGUCCCCGAAGGGAAAAUCCUAUCUCUAGGACAGUCCGCCGUUGUCUAGCCUAGGUAAGGUUCUUCGCGUUGCGUCGAAUUAAACCACAUGCUCCACCGCUUGUGCGGGCCCCCGUCAAUUCCUUUGAGUUUCAACCUUGCGGUCGUACUCCCCAGGCGGGGUACUUCCUGCGUUAGCGCCGGCACCCAGAGGGUCGCUCCCCCAGGCACCUAGUACCCAUCGUUUACGGCGUGGACUAC